CCUCCCGAGGGCGAGGGCGGGAAGCCGAGGAGGUCGGUGAGGACGCUCAGCCGAGGUGGGCGGCUCGGCAGGGCCCCCGGGAGACGGACCGGUCUCAGGGCCCCGCGACCAGCUUUCCUGUGUCACCACCACAGGCGGGCCACCCAGCUCCAGGAGGAGCACCGUGAGGACUCUGAUGAAGAACGGGCUCCGAGGCAGCAAGUGAAACCUUCCUAGGUGGCCUACAGGAGGGAACACAGUAAACACCAGAAGGGUGAAAUAACAGCUUCUUUCUCUGAGUUCUAAUGAAGCCACUCUCAUCCUGUUUAGAAUAAUUUGUUCAGCCCGCCUACCUCUGCGUUGUGAGCUCUUUGAGAGGCUGGUCCA
Molecule: long non-coding RNA, 366 nt
Organism: Phyllostomus discolor (pale spear-nosed bat)
Lineage: Eukaryota; Metazoa; Chordata; Mammalia; Chiroptera; Phyllostomidae
Exons: 4
Source: RefSeq, a predicted model, not a curated record